Molecule: ribosomal RNA, 344 nt
Filed under: uncultured bacterium
Lineage: Bacteria
Description: bacterial SSU rRNA
Rfam family: Bacterial small subunit ribosomal RNA
Source: RNAcentral
GACGAACGCUGGCGGCGUGCCUAACACAUGCAAGUCGUGCGAGAAAGUUCCUUCGGGAGCGAGUAAAGCGGCGCACGGGUGAGUAACACGUAGGUAACCUGCCCCCCAGUCUGGAACAACUAGAGGAAACUCUAGCUAAUGCCGGAUGAGACCACGAUCCCUUCGGGGUUGCGGCCAAAGAUGGCCUCUACUUGUAAGCUAUCGCUGAGGGAUGGGCCUGCGGCCAUUAGCUUGUGGUGAGGUAACGGCUCACCAAGGCUGUGAUGGCUAGCUGGUCUGAGAGGAUGACCAGCCACACUGGACUGAGACACGGCCCAGACUCCUACGGAGCAGCAGUGGGAAUA